Molecule: ribosomal RNA, 481 nt
Filed under: uncultured bacterium
Lineage: Bacteria
Description: bacterial SSU rRNA
Rfam family: Bacterial small subunit ribosomal RNA
Source: RNAcentral
AGGACGAACGCUGGCGGCGUGCUUAACACAUGCAAGUCGAACGGAAAGGCCCUGCUUUGUGGGGUGCUCGAGUGGCGAACGGGUGAGUAACACGUGAGUAACCUGCCCUUGACUUUGGGAUAACUUCAGGAAACUGGGGCUAAUACCGGAUAGGAGCUCCUGCUGCAUGGUGGGGGUUGGAAAGUUUCGGCGGUUGGGGAUGGACUCGCGGCUUAUCAGCUUGUUGGUGGGGUAGUGGCUUACCAAGGCUUUGACGGGUAGCCGGCCUGAGAGGGUGACCGGCCACAUUGGGACUGAGAUACGGCCCAGACUCCUACGGGAGGCAGCAGUGGGGAAUAUUGCACAAUGGGCGGAAGCCUGAUGCAGCCAACGCCGCGUGCGGGAUGACGGCCUUCGGGUUGUAAACCGCUUUCGCCUGUGACGAAGCGUGAGUGACGGUAAUGGGUAAAGAAGCACCGGCUAACUACGUGCCAGCAGCUGC